UCCUGUACCACUGCUUGAAGAAGGUGUCUUCCAGGAACUGGCAGUAGGACUGGGAGUUGAGCUUGACUCCAUCCUCAACCCGAAAAGGCCCCACAAGCUCAUCUUUGAUGAUACCAGCCCAAACCAGUACUCCACCUCCACCUUGCUGGCGUCUGAGUCGGACUGGAGCUCUCUGCCCUUUACCAAUCCAGCCACUGGCCCAUCAAGACUCACUCUCAUUUCAUCAGUCCAUAAAACCUUAGAAAAAUCAGUCUUGAGAUAUUUCUUGGCCCAGUCUUGACGUUUCAGCUUGUGUGUCUUGUUCAGUGGUGGUCGUCUUUCAGCCUUUCUUACCUUGGCCAUGUCUCUGAGUAUUGCACACCUUGUGCUUUUGGGCACUCCAGUG
RNAcentral lists this long non-coding RNA (385 nucleotides) under Pelobates cultripes (western spadefoot toad). Lineage: Eukaryota; Metazoa; Chordata; Amphibia; Anura; Pelobatidae. The record is from RNAcentral.